Molecule: microRNA precursor, 106 nt
Organism: Lupinus angustifolius (narrow-leaved blue lupine)
Lineage: Eukaryota; Viridiplantae; Streptophyta; Magnoliopsida; Fabales; Fabaceae
Rfam family: mir-393 microRNA precursor family
Source: Rfam
AGAGGAGACAUCCAAAGGGAUCGCAUUGAUCCCAAAUUUCAUUCUUAAAUUUCUCUUUCCCUUUUCAAAAUAUUUGGGAUCAUGCUAUCCCUUUGGAUUCCUCCUU